This 253-nucleotide ribosomal RNA is filed under the name uncultured bacterium. RNAcentral describes it as "partial 16S ribosomal RNA". It matches the Rfam family "Bacterial small subunit ribosomal RNA", at positions 524 to 776 of the family's 1533-position model. The record is from RNAcentral.
GACGAGGGAUCCUAGCGUUGUUCGGAAUCAUUGGGCGUAAAGCGGAUGUAGGUGGCUUUGUAAGUCAGGUGUGAAGGCCCCGGGCUCAACCCGGGAAGUGCAUUUGAUACUGCGAAGCUUGAGUGCUGGAGAGGUUACUAGAAUACCUGGUGUAGUGGUGAAAUACGUAGAUAUCAGGUGGAAUACCGGAGGCGAAGGCGGGUAACCAGCCAGACACUGACACUCAGAUCCGAAAGUGUGGGGAUCAAACAGG